Molecule: ribosomal RNA, 675 nt
Filed under: Aphelenchoides besseyi
Lineage: Eukaryota; Metazoa; Nematoda; Chromadorea; Rhabditida; Aphelenchoididae
Description: LSU rRNA
Rfam family: Eukaryotic large subunit ribosomal RNA
Source: RNAcentral
GACGUGAAACCGAUAUAAUGGAAGCGGAUGGAGCCGACGUAUCUUGCGCGUAUUCAAUCCCGCGACAUUGCAAUCGCUUCGUUGACACUCCGCAAGGUUGUCCUCGGAGUGUUGUUGUUGUGUUCGUUGGGUGCAUUUGCGUGCGGAGUGCGCCGAGUGGAUCGAUGUUGCUGCCGGAUGGGCGUAUAGAGGACUCGUUUACGAGAAUCCUGGACGUUCGGAUAGCAGGUUGAUGUUGGUUCGCUUAAUGGAGUGCGGGUGAAUUCGCGAUUGGAGUUGGUUGUGAGUUGUUGUUUCGGAUGGCACAUGUGUCUUUCGUUCCAGCGGCCUACGAUCGGUUUCCGUUGCCCCGGCAUUCGACUCGGUGUGUAGUCGGUCACCCAUUCGACCCGUCUUGAAACACGGACCAAGGAGUUUAAGGUGUACGCGAGUCAUUGAGCAGCAACGAAACUCAAAGGCGCAAUGAAAGUGAGACAUUUGAUGUCGACGAUGUGAGCGUUGGGCGUUUCGACGUCCGGCGCGCAACAUCGCCCCGUGACCAGGACUUGUUCUGUUGCGGAGGUUGAGCGUACGCUUUGAGACCCGAAAGAUGGUGAACUAUGCCCGAACAGGAUGAAGCCAGAGGAAACUCUGGUGGAAGUCCGAAGCGGUUCUGACGUGCAAAUCGAUCGUCUG